AUUGAGCGCUGGCGGCAUGCCUUACACAUGCAAAUCGAACGGUAACGGGCCUUCGGGUGCCGACGAGUGGCGAACGGGUGAGUAAUACAUCGGAACGUGCCCGAUCGUGGGGGAUAACGAGGCGAAAGCUUUGCUAAUACCGCAUACGAUCUACGGAUGAAAGCAGGGGACCGCAAGGCCUUGCGCGGACGGAGCGGCCGAUGGCAGAUUAGGUAGUUGGUGGGAUAAAAGCUUACCAAGCCGACGAUCUGUAGCUGGUCUGAGAGGAUGAUCAGCCACACUGGGACUGAGACACGGCCCAGACUCCUACGGGAGGCAGCAGUGGGGAAUUUUGGACAAUGGGCGCAAGCCUGAUCCAGCCAUGCCGCGUGCAGGAUGAAGGCCUUCGGGUUGUAAACUGAUUUUGUACGGAACGAAAAGCCUUCUUUUAAUACAGGAGGGUCAUGACGGUACCGUAAGAAUAAGCACCGGCUAACUACGUG
RNAcentral lists this ribosomal RNA (482 nucleotides) under uncultured bacterium. RNAcentral's name for it is "partial 16S ribosomal RNA". It matches the Rfam family "Bacterial small subunit ribosomal RNA", at positions 30 to 507 of the family's 1533-position model. The record is from RNAcentral.